Molecule: long non-coding RNA, 4891 nt
Organism: Manihot esculenta (cassava)
Lineage: Eukaryota; Viridiplantae; Streptophyta; Magnoliopsida; Malpighiales; Euphorbiaceae
Exons: 2
Source: RefSeq, a predicted model, not a curated record
AUCUCGAAUGCAGCCGAAGCGGAGCUGCUCAGCCGCCACAGCUCCCCUAUAUUUUCUAACUCUUUAACCCCUUUCACCUUCACCCUCACCACGUCCCCAGUUUACAGACUUGGCCGCCGGCAGACCCACGCCUUGCUGCCCUCCAAUUUUUUCCCUUAUGUAAUCCCCUUCUCUACGGCAAGUUCUGUCCCCUACAUGGUGUCCCAUUUUCGAGACGAAUUUGUUCAACAUGGUGACGAUAUUGAUAUUAAUGCUAUUGAGGAUUUGGAGGAGAAGAGUGACUCAUUGACUAGUAGGUACGCUGACGGGUCCGCUUUUAUUGAGCUCCUAAAGCGGUUGCCUUCUUGACCUCACUUAGCCGUAUAGGUGUUGCUUUGCAUUUAUUUUACUCCGUCAUCUUUCUCGUUUUUGCUUUUAUUGAUUUAUCUGGGUUGUUCUGCAUUUUGCUUCUCGAUCGGCAAGCCCAUUGCAUGUGUAUGUUUAAACUGAUUUGUUCUUGCGAGCAUCUGAAUUGCUCUGAAUUUUCGUUCUAAAUUUUUUUAGAACUUCUUUUUUUCAUAGCUUGUAAUCAAUAAAGCUAUUUUCUUUUUUUUCUUUGAAAUUUUUGUCCCAUUAUACCAUUACUUAUGUUUACUCAUAAAAAAAAACUAAAAUCCUGUUUGGAUAAUAUUUUCCUAUGAUUUCAUUGAUAUGUGUUUUUCCAUGGUAUUAUUUCUAUUGUAUGGUUUCAUAAUGUAUUGUGCCUUAUUAUGUUUAGAAGAUUGUAUAACUUAUCCUGGUUUUAUAACUGUGAUUGUUUGAUUGGUUUGAUUGUAUAGUAUUGUCCUAAAUGGUAAUUAAAUUACCCAAAUAAUUUCAUUUAUUUUUUUGUAUGCAAUUUGAUCAUUAAUUUCUCAUUCUUAAUAAUUUAAUCUACAUUCUAUAUUUAUUCCAAUUCACAAAUAGUUGUCCAUUUCUUUUUAAAAAAUAAUAUUUAAUAUAUUAAAUAUUUGAUCAAUAAAUGAAAUUCACAAGAUAAUAAUAUAUUAAUAAGGGUGAUUAUUGGGUUGGAGGGGUUGGUUUGGUUAAUUAAAGUAAGUAAUUGCUGUAAGAAUAAAUUGGUCAUAUAUAAAAUAUAUGAUGGCAAAAGAGUAAACAAAUUUUCUACAACAAUACAAAACCGCCAAUUUGGUGGUUAAAGAAUCUAUGAGUUUUUAUGGUUUUAUAACCAUGGCAUUUAAUCACCAGAAAAUCAUACAAUAUAGAGUAUAAUCUUCCCAAAUAUGACUGUCUCUUGAAACAAUACAAUGCAUUACAUGACCAUGGAAAAACAUCAUCCAAGCAAUGUACGAAAUACCCUAUUUCAUUUAUGCAUAGUGGACAUUCGUAUUUUGUUACCUAAGGAUAAGGAUGUCCGCUUGGGGGUAAAAGUUUUUGUUCUGUGGCAAUAGCUUGAUCAUUGAAACUACAUGAGAUUUUGGGCAGAAACACGAUGUGUUAACCAUGGGCUCCAUGCAUAUUUGAGUGAUGGAUAACGUUCCUUUUUUCUUUCCCUUUCUUUCUUUCAAGUAUAGGUUUGUAGUUAAAUGGUUGUGUUCACUAUUCAGGUUUUUAGUUGAAGAAAACUAGCUGAGUGGAGCACUCCUUUGACACAAAGGAGUAUGCCAAGGGCAUCAAAGUUGCUGGUAGGGCAAAGAAUUAAAUAUUCUUAUCAGUAUUUGGUCGCUCAUUACUUGUUGAUCACGUGGAAGCAACAUAUGAGGAGUUAAAGAAUUAAAUAUUUCAACUUGAUGAGAUUGAAAAUUUCAACUUGAACUGCACCAAAAAGACAUUUGUAAUAUUGAUAAAACAUAUUUGAUGUGUGGUCAAAAGUACAAGGUUGACCAGGUGAUAGGUUUGAUAUAAAAGCAUGGACAUGAAAUUCCUCUAGGUGCAUCUCCAUCAUAACGUACCUACUGACAAGGUUGCAUGCCAUGCAUCACAAAUUGCAGAAAUCAUUCAGCUGAUCGUGUGUAUGGUUCAUCAGAAUUUAAUAUGGGAUUGAAAUUUACAGGAACUCAUAGGUACGCAUUAUGUUUGUUUUAUGUAUCAUACACUUAGCAGUUUGAAAUUUUUUGAUGGUAGCCAAUGGUCUUGUCUAAUUUUUCAUAUAUCACAAGCAUUUACAUGCAUCUUCUCAGUUGUGAAUUAUAGUUAAGACCUGCUGGUAGGCAAGGCAAGGAGACCUAGUUAUAGCAAUUUGAAAAGCUCGAAUUGCUGAGAUUGCAUAGCAUAUAGAUAAUUUGUUCAUCUCUUAGGCUACCAAGUAUAGUUGCAGUAGUUAAAGUUCACUGCUUCUGAUCAAAGAGGACUUCUUCUUGGAAAACCUGCAUUGUCAAACCCAGCCCCGCUGGUUCAACAGGUCCCUAAACCCCUCUCAAAACCUGGUGACCAACAGCACACGCCAAACCUGUCACACCAGUGGGACGAGUUUCAAUAAUCUUUUUGUUGAUUAUUUAUACAAAAUAAUGCUUUUUGUACAUGAGUCGGUCAUUGGUUAUGACAUGUGGUGAAAACAAGGGAAAAAAAAAGGGAUGACUUGUUUUAUGUUUUUCGACAUCUCAUAUGCAAUGUUGAUAUAUGUUUCUCCAAAAGAUACUCUAAACUUCUGUUUUAGGCAGUGAAGUUUAUUAUUUAGGUAGUCAAUUUUAGAGAACAAAUAUUUACCUAAAUUAUGGAACAUUAUUUGGGGUUACAAGGUACAUUAGGCAAGUUGAUUAAUAUUAAAGGAUAUAAUUUUAAUAUACAAUCUAAUAUAGUAAUAUUAAUUUAUAAAAGGUUAUCAUUUGCAUAACAUAAAUUUAGUAAUUAGUGAACGAUAUACAGGAGGAAUAGACGAUAGGUUGAAUCUUGUUAACUAUUAAACUCUUAACCCUUUAUCUUCACUAGUUCUUAGACCAGGUUGGCUUUGAAACAUUUGAAAAACUUCAUUGAGAGCGUAAUAAAUUUCAAUGUAAACAAUGCCAUCAUGACCAUAAAAUUUAUAUUGCCUUCAUAUUUAGGGUUACGUUAUCCAAUGAUGUCUGGUAUUGGUAUUAAGUCUUAACAGUGUGUUUUAAUCCCCUUGUUUUUAUUUUGCUUUUGAUUUUAUUGUUUAUUUUGUAGAGAGGAUGCCUCAUCCUUCACUCUCUUUCUUCUUCCUUAACAAAAUCUUUUUCUUUUACCCUGAAAGAAGUGCUGUCAUCCAUAAUCAUUUUUUAUUUUACAUCCAAAUAAAGAAUUUUAUUGAGCUUUGUAACCUUGGUAUCCUUUGGUUUUGUUGGUUUUUCAGAGGAGAGGGAGAAAGAUAUAACAAUGUUAUUAUUUUGUUAUUGAAACAUGGAUAUAUAGAGGGAAAAUAUAACAGAAAAUCUUAAUAAAAAUAUCUGCCAAAUCACAUCCAAACUCAUAAAUAAUCUAAAUGUUAUCCUAUCUUCAUAAUUUGACUUAUAAUCCUAAAAUCAUAACAUAUUUUUUGAAAGCGGAAAAGCACAUUCCAACAGGUUUUAUUUUACAUCCACAGUCAUAUUUUGCAAUCUACGUUCACUUCGUUAGUGUUCUGAUAAUUUGUAUUUUCUUCUUUGCAUGUGUUUUCCUUUGCCAUGGUGAUAUUGCAUAUAUAAUAUUCACUCCAAAUACAAAAUUUUCAGCUCCUAUGAUAUUAGGGAGUUUGCAAGCGUCUAAAUUUGAUUUAUGCUCUGAAAUGGAGGAGCUCAUAAAGAAAGAUAUUCUCUAUUGGAUUAUUUCCAGUGGAAGGAAGACAGAUAAUAGCUUCCAUCUUGAAAAUAUUUCCCCCUAACAAUUCCUCUGAGUCUGUAUCAAAGCAAACCAUAUCCAGCAUUUCCUUUUCUCCGGAAUUGUAUCUUCUAACCCUUUCUGUUGUCCUAUUAAAUGGAUUUUAAGCUCUAAAACAGGACUUGGUACAGAAACUUAAGGAGGCAGAUGUUGUUACACUUAACAUAAAGUAUGGAAAUGUUGAUAUCCCACACCAAUUUUUCUUGGCACUGAAGAUCUCCUUGUAAAUGGCAAUUUAACCAGGGGAAGGGGCUGGGAUGGAAAUUUUUCCAUGGGUAAGGUAGGAAAAUAUUGCAUUGAUUAUUCUUCAGUUAGUUGAUGCAUUUUACAAUUUUAAAUGUUGUGCUAUAAACGCAGGUGGAACAGUAUUUUUUUUUUUUUGUAUUGGAAGUCCGUAAUAUGUAUACCCAGUAAGAAAUUUCCCCCACCCAAAUCUUUUUUUUUGUUGUUACUUUUUAAAUUUUUUGAGGAGAUCUGCCGUGGAAAUCUUGGUGAUCUUGUUUGUGUAAUUCUUAUUCCCUAAUGUUACAGAUAAGAUCAAGGACAUCUUCUUAAUUCUGAUGGGGGAAGAACUAAUAUGAAGAACUUGUAUAGCGGGUCAAGUGCGUUGACCACCCAAUUCUCUCUCUCUCAGGAUACUCUGUAUGUUUCCUUUUCCUAACUAGGACAUGAAAAGUCAUACACUGUUUGAUGGACUACAACCGUUAGAAUGCUGAUAACACAGAAAUUGAAAUAAAAUUCAGCAAAACGUGCAGGAUGGUUUACUUUUUUGGCAUAAAUUCCGCCUAGUCUGCUGUAUACUGAUGAAAUUGGCUGAAUUAUGUUAAUGUUACAAAUCUGAGAAUGGAAUAAACUUUUGGUUUAAAAUCUGGGAGAUAAACAUUUGGAUUAGCCUUGCAAGAAUGACUGUUCAUCAGGCAUCAUUGCUCUACAAAAUCCUAUCUUGUGGGAUGAAGGUGAUGCAUUAAGUUUUUGUAGGUCACAGCUGAAUAAAUCAGUAAUGUUAGUUAAAUUGCCGAAGUUGUUUUGCAGAAUAUUAUCUGGUAUACUGGGACCUGGAGCUUAUGAUACCAAUUCAGACUUAAACAGAUUUUUUCAC